Long non-coding RNA from Gastrolobium bilobum, 1296 nucleotides. RefSeq lists it as uncharacterized. The transcript is spliced from 3 exons. The record is from RefSeq and is a predicted model, not a curated record. NCBI's taxonomy places the organism in Eukaryota, Viridiplantae, Streptophyta, Magnoliopsida, Fabales, Fabaceae.
GGCUGAGGUAUAUAGUCUGUUAAUUCAGAUUGAUAAUUAAUCUUCGAGUCUCUCUUCCCUCUUGGCACCUCACUGUAAAAAAACCGAACCAGAACACCCACUCCCUCUCAUUCCUAAAGCAGCAAGCACACCUAAACUGAACUGCACCCGCUCCACACCUUCGACCAAAUCAACCAUGGUACAGAUUGCCUGACAGUUCAUUGUGUUUCAUCAUUUCCACCAGGUCCGUGGCGUUCCUAGGAAGGGGGGAUUACCCUUCCAUUGUUAUUCCCUUCCCCUUCCAGCCGUGCGUUCAUCAGCAAAGAAAUGGAGAGUUCAUCGUUGUUACUGCCUUUUCUUCCAUAGUAGGUUCUGACCAAGUUCUUCUUGGUGUGCGCAUGUCUUGGUUCGAUUUGAUGAGGACUUCCCCUGCAUGCAUAACCGAGUUUAAGUUCACAUCCACUCAUCCUUCUUCUUGUCCAGCCGAAACAACCCGCAGCAAGGAGAAUCUAUCUUAAGGAGGUGCAUGGAACUCAAUUUUUGGAGCUCUUGGAGGGGAGAGGUUGCUGUCUCCUAAUCGAUUUGGCUAGUGUGUGUACCGCUAAGAGGUGCGCAUAAACCUCUAAGAAUGUGGACUAUUCUGGUGUGGUUUGAAUUGUAUUUGGGCACGCAAGGUAUGUGUUUGGUGGUGAGACCUACUGUGACUAUUAGCUAGAGUAUGGAAUUUUGAACUGAUGCUCACAUGUCCCUUAUGAUUCGUAUUCUGUUAUAUGAUAUAUGAAAUCUAUCUUUGGACUUGUCUUGAUGGAAAAUUCUGCCUAUGGAAGUGUUUGUUAUUCGGCAGCUUGGUAUUAAAUAUACAAGAGAUAUAUGCUAUAUGAUUUAGUCAUGCAUUUGCACAUCAUGUUUCACCUGUGUCUGUUUGUGUGUGUGUCAAGCAUGUCAUAGCAUACAGAAUUAUGCAUUCAUCAGGUAAUGUCGGGGUUGAGACCCCAGGCGGCAGGAGGCCGGAGCUGAGUUAGAUAUUACUGGUUUUAUUUGCUGACUUGUUGGAUGCUGGAUAUGCUUGCUGCUAUUAUGCUUUUAGCUUCAUUUAUGUUAUGGAUUAUCUUGUUGAGACACUGUUGGUUAUGUUGUUGAUUUGGUGAGCAUGGGGAUUGUCCAUGCCAUAUAGACUUGUUUAUUAUCUUGUUUUAUUUGGAGUAGUAUUAAUGUAUCAGGAUAUUGUCCGGACUACGUGUAGUAGAUCUGUGACAUAGAUACUCACUUUAUCUAUUUUUUGAGGUAUUUCAGUUAGAUGUUGAUGCUAUCCGGCAA